AAUUCUCAACCUCAAAAGCUUUUGUUUCUGAGGCUUGGAUGUGGAGGCUUUGCUGGCUUGUUCAGAGUCAGCUCCUCUUAAAUGCAUUAGUGGAAACUGUUUGCUAGUCCGCAUUAGUGUGAUAAUUAUCAGCGCUGUUGUGGCUGCAAGCUCAUAGUAGUGUUCGUUUGGGAAGUGCAUCAAUAGUGCUCUUUCUGUUCUACUUGACCUACACUUGAGUAUAGUAUCUGCUUCAAACUGUCCUAAGAUAACUGGACAACACUUGAUUA
Molecule: unclassified non-coding RNA, 269 nt
Filed under: uncultured Marasmius
Lineage: Eukaryota; Fungi; Basidiomycota; Agaricomycetes; Agaricales; Tricholomataceae
Description: sequence contains ITS2
Source: RNAcentral